UGGGGAAUUUUCCGCAAUGGGCGAAAGCCUGACGGAGCAAUACCGCGUGAGGGAAGAAGGCUCUUGGGUUGUAAACCUCUUUUCUCAGGGAAUAAAAAAAUGAAGGUACCUGAGGAAUAAGCAUCGGCUAACUCCGUGCCAGCAGCCGCGGUAAUACGGAGGAUGCAAGCGUUAUCCGGAAUGAUUGGGCGUAAAGCGUCCGCAGGUGGUACAACAAGUCUAGUGUCAAAGACCGGGGCUCAACCCCGGAAAGGCGGUAGAAACUGUUGAACUAGAGGGUCGUAGGGGUAGAGGGAAUUCCCAGUGUAGCGGUGAAAUGCGUAGAGAUUGGGAAGAACAUCGGUGGCGAAGGCGCUCUACUGGACGGCAACUGACACUCAGGGACGAAAGCUAGGGGAGCGAAUG
Molecule: ribosomal RNA, 405 nt
Filed under: uncultured cyanobacterium
Lineage: Bacteria; Bacillati; Cyanobacteriota
Description: bacterial SSU rRNA
Rfam family: Bacterial small subunit ribosomal RNA
Source: RNAcentral